This 162-nucleotide non-coding RNA is filed under the name Paenibacillus pini. RNAcentral describes it as "FMN sequence". It matches the Rfam family "FMN riboswitch aptamer (RFN element)". From Rfam's summary of the family: The RFN element is a highly conserved domain that is found frequently in the 5'-untranslated regions of prokaryotic mRNAs that encode for flavin mononucleotide (FMN) biosynthesis and transport proteins. This element is a metabolite-dependent riboswitch that directly binds FMN in the absence of proteins. In Bacillus subtilis, the riboswitch most likely controls gene expression by causing premature transcription termination within the 5' untranslated region of the ribDEAHT operon and precluding access to the ribosome-binding site of ypaA mRNA. The record is from RNAcentral. RNAcentral also lists the same sequence under 1 other name. Lineage: Bacteria; Bacillati; Bacillota; Bacilli; Caryophanales; Paenibacillaceae.
AUGGAUCUUCGGGGUAGGGUGCAAUUCCCAACCGGCGGUGAGCAUUUUGCUUCUUAAAAGAAUAAAAUGUAAGCCCGCGACUCGCUGUUUUGAUACUAAGAUAGCGACUGACUUGGUGAGAUUCCAAGGCCGACGGUACAGUCCGGAUGAGAGAAGAUCAAC